RNAcentral lists this transfer RNA (85 nucleotides) under Nevskiaceae bacterium. RNAcentral's name for it is "tRNA-Leu". The record is from RNAcentral. Lineage: Bacteria; Pseudomonadati; Pseudomonadota; Gammaproteobacteria; Nevskiales; Nevskiaceae.
GCCCGAGUGACGGAAUUUGUAGACGCAGUGGACUCAAAAUCCACACGCCCUUAAAAGCGGGUCGGUUCGACGCCGACCUCGGGCA